RNAcentral lists this long non-coding RNA (833 nucleotides) under Olea europaea (common olive). Its description in RNAcentral is "long non-coding RNA (OEUR_LNC000434)". The record is from RNAcentral. Lineage: Eukaryota; Viridiplantae; Streptophyta; Magnoliopsida; Lamiales; Oleaceae.
CAACUACACACGUCUGUCUUAUCUUCUUAUAUUGUCCUUUUUGCUUCCAUUCUUAAUAUUAUCCUUUAUUCCUGAAACAACUGCUAAACAAAAAACUCAUAAAAGAAACUCGUCUUGUGCUCAACUUGUUUGAAGCCCCCCCAAAAAUGGCAGAUUCUCAAGUAGAACCUGUAGCUAUGACUGGUGUAGUUAACACUGAUAAUUCUCAAAUUCGUCCACCUUCUACUCAUUCCGAACAACUCAAGGUAAUUUGUAAAUAAUCAAUUUCUCUGCAAUCUUAAUGUUUAACUAAGAUUAUAAAUUUUUUGUAAAGUUAUGGCUCCAUUCGUAGCUUUCAAAUUCUGUAAAAAUUAAGUCGAUUAUCCUCAAGUUCAUAUUACCGAGUGGAAGAAACGUUCUUAUUUGAAGGAAGAAGAGAAGAAGGGAGAGGAAGCCAAGGAAGAGAAGAAGAGAGAGGAAGAGAAAAAGAAUGGACAACAAAACCUAAACUCAAGCCUCAUCAUUACAGGAGUGGUGGUUGCUGUGAUUGGAGCUAUAUUUGCUAUAUUUAAGAAUAUUAAAAAGGCAUGAAAUGGUACGUACUGUGUUUUACUUCUUUCAAUAUUUAUGUUGUAACUGUAAAAGCAUGACAUUGUAAAUGUAAAAUCUCGUAAUAAUAUUUGAACUCUCAGUAGUCAGCGUGGGAACGUAUCAGUAUCACACGAAAGCAGGUGAAUAAAUUGGAGAAUUCAGGCUUUUACUGUUAAUUUUCGAUAACUCCUGUUUGAUUCCUUUAUUUUCUAUAUGCACCUUUAUUGAGGGCUUUGACUGAUUUGAUACAGAUUGGAUUUUAG